RNAcentral lists this long non-coding RNA (1735 nucleotides) under Podarcis lilfordi (Lilford's wall lizard). Lineage: Eukaryota; Metazoa; Chordata; Lepidosauria; Squamata; Lacertidae. The record is from RNAcentral.
ACCCACCCAGUGUGGGAAACAGAUUGAUGAGGAUUAAGUGUGCUCAGUGGCCACUAAAUGCUUGAGUAUCAGCUGGAAAAGAAAAGAAAAGAAAAGAAAAGAAAAGAAAAGAAAAGAAAAGAAAAGGGAGUGGAAUGGGCUGCUUGUGGAACCCUGCACAGGAGCUCUCCUUUAAGAAGCAAUGAAAUACUACAACAUUUUGUUGUAGGUCCUAAUUGUAAUCAUCUUCUGUUCAACGUUUAUUUGUCAUUCAGGGCAAUUUUUCCUGAUUAACUGAAAAUGGAAAUUACAGUGAAUCUGCUUCCCAUGUUAACUGGUACAUGCUUUAGCUCACAGACAGGGCUGCUGGAAACAGAUGCAAGCAAAAGACAGCAUGGUUUGGUACAAAAUUAUUCAUGCUAAUGCAUCAUCUAAUCAAGUAUGGACAGCUGCACAUCUGCAUAGCUCCUGAUUCCCCAUGACUGGACAGAUCCAAGCAGUGUAUCAGAGCCUUGUAGCUGAUGGGUAUUCUUCAGUGCCAUGAAAAACAUCUGGAACCUGAAGAAGAAACCUAAAGUCAACAUCUAAAUGUGUGUCCAUGAAAGUAAUGAAGUACAGAAGAGUGGCAUCUCUAUUCUGAUGUGCACCUGAAUGUGGAUGUUAUUCUGCUGCAUAGCAUUCUCUGUUCAAUAGAAUGUGGAUUUGGAUGUGAAGGUGUAUUGGCAAUCCAUCCAGAAGAUAUUUGUAUUUCGAGGAGUUAGUGAUCUGACAUGGUUAUCCUUCCUGCCCCCUGUUCCAUCCUUUCUCCUAUCUUUUGUUAAGCUCUUUGAUGGCAUGAGAACAGCCUUUAAUGUCCUAAUCUGUUGGAAGGAAGCGAUAGUGUUGAGAAUCUUCUUUGAUGUUGAACAUUGUUUCAGGAAAGUGAGGCAUUGGGAGAAGGUGGGUAAUGAAUAAUCUGCACAAAGCUAGUGAGCUGCAUGUAGUUAGUUGGGAAAACCACACAGCUUAACUAUCUAUAAAUCAGAUGGUUGUGGACAGUGUGAGAGAGAAGCUCAUGCAUAGACUGACAGCCGCAGGGCCGUGCAACCUGAGGCUACCUGGGAGAGUCACUUCUCCACUUUCUGAGGGCUUCCAAGUGGCAAAUUGAGGUGCUUGCUUGGUAUGAGAAUCCUCUGUGAAAAUAAUCUCUCAAAGGACCUGUUGAUGGCAUUUUACCAUUGUAUUGUUGAGAGUGUAUUAACUCAUGGUCUGUGUGUGUGGUUUGGGAGCUGCAUGGUCAGGGGAAAAACAACGCUGUCCAAGGUUGUAAAGACUGCGGAGAGAAUAAUUGGGUGUACUCUUCCCACCUUGGAUCAAAUCUAUGCUUCCAGGUGUCAUAAGAAAGCUGUAGAGAUAGUGCAGGAUAGUGCACAUCCUGGAAAUAAUCUCUUUCAGCUUCUGCUUUCUGGAAGAAGGUACAGGUUAUAAAGACUAGGACUAGCUGCCUGAGAAACAGUUUCUAUCCAAAUGAGAUUUUGGUUUUAAAUGCAGUGUAAGGUAGUCUCUGUGGGAGUAUAUUGUAUUUAAUUAUGGGGUAUCAGAGUUAUUAGGGGGUUAACCAGGCUGGGAUAGCUGGGAUAGCAGGCCUGUUGGUUUUUGAAUGUCUGAUGUAGAUUUUUUUUGAAUUUCGUUGUUCUGUAUGGGACAAUGACAAUAAAGAUUACCGUAUCAUAUGUAUAUACUGCUUGUUGUUUAGAAUAAAAUCUUUAAUCUUCUC